UUGUGGAGGAGGACGCCGAAGGUGGGGCUAAUGACUGGGGUGAAGUCGUAACAAGGUAGCCGUACCGGAAGGUGCGGCUGGAUCACCUCCUAACAGGGAGACAACAAAAUGUUUAAUAUUAAUUUUGUCACCUUAGGUCGAUCGGUAUCUCACAUUCUUAAUUUAUUAAGAAUUUCAUUUCCUAAGUUUUUUCUAGGUCACACCCAUUAUUUUUCCUGGGCCAUUAGCUCAGGUGGUUAGAGCGCACCCCUGAUAAGGGUGAGGUCCCUGGUUCAAGUCCAGGAUGGCCCAUAUCUCUAUGUUGGGGGUAUAGCUCAGUUGGUAGAGCGCCUGCUUUGCAAGCAGGAUGUCAGCGGUUCGAGUCCGCUUACCUCCACUGAUUACCACCUCUUCCAUAAUUUAAAGAAGGGAAAUUUUUUGAGUUGUGAUCAAAUUCUGAACGAAUCUAGCCUCCUAAUAAUCUUAUUAAGAUGCUGGACUCAUUGAAUUAAUUUUCAUUGUUUUCAGAGAACCUUGACAACUGCAUAGAUUAUUUUUAAAGACAAUAAGCAUCUUUAAUGAUGCAGAUUUAUUAUUUGUGCGAAUGCAUUAAAUAACAAUUCUAUUAAGCUGAUGCUUCAAAUUUUGAAGUUAUUGGUCAAGCUACAA
RNAcentral lists this unclassified non-coding RNA (648 nucleotides) under uncultured Prochlorococcus sp. RNAcentral describes it as "partial 16S-23S ribosomal RNA intergenic spacer; may also contain 16S ribosomal RNA and 23S ribosomal RNA". The stretch from base 304 to 376 matches the Rfam family "tRNA". The record is from RNAcentral. Lineage: Bacteria; Bacillati; Cyanobacteriota; Cyanophyceae; Synechococcales; Prochlorococcaceae.